RNAcentral lists this microRNA precursor (220 nucleotides) under Oryza sativa (Asian cultivated rice). Its description in RNAcentral is "partial microRNA MIR438o precursor". The stretch from base 16 to 204 matches the Rfam family "MIR812 microRNA precursor family". The record is from RNAcentral. Lineage: Eukaryota; Viridiplantae; Streptophyta; Magnoliopsida; Poales; Poaceae.
ACUCCAUCAGCCCAUUUUAAACGCAGUUUACAUGUCUAACAUUUGAUUAUCCGUUUUAUUUUAAUCUUUUUAUAAUUAUUAUUUUUUAUUAGAUGAUAAAAUAUAAAUAGUAAUUUAUGCGUGACUUAUAUUUUUUAUUUUUUAAAAAAAUUUAAAAUAAAAUGAAUGAAUGAUUAAAGCUAGAUACGAAAAACUGUGUUUAAAAUGGGACGGAGGUACU